RNAcentral lists this ribosomal RNA (203 nucleotides) under uncultured bacterium. RNAcentral describes it as "partial 16S ribosomal RNA". It matches the Rfam family "Bacterial small subunit ribosomal RNA", at positions 1288 to 1500 of the family's 1533-position model. The record is from RNAcentral.
CAUUCGGAUCGGAGUCUGCAACCCGACUCCGUGAAGCUGGAUUCGCUAGUAAUCGCGCAUCAGCCAUGGCGCGGUGAAUACGUUCCCGGGCCUUGUACACACCGCCCGUCAAGCCAUGGGAGCCGGGGGUGCUUGAAGUGCGUCGCCGCAAGGCGCGCCCUAGAGCAAAACCGGUGACUGGGGCUAAGUCGUAACAAGGUACC